AAUAAGUGAAAUUUUACACUGUUUAUGUCCAUCAUUUGACCGUUCGUCUUAUUUAAAUUUUUUUUAUGAUUAGUAUUUAUUGUUAUUAAAUGAUAAAAUAUGAAUAGUACUUUAUGUCUUACUACUUUUUUUAAAAAAAAAUUAAAUAAGAUGGAUGGUCAAAUGUUGGACACAGAUAUCCACGACUACAUUUAUU
Molecule: non-coding RNA, 196 nt
Organism: Oryza glaberrima (African rice)
Lineage: Eukaryota; Viridiplantae; Streptophyta; Magnoliopsida; Poales; Poaceae
Source: Rfam